Molecule: ribosomal RNA, 460 nt
Filed under: uncultured bacterium
Lineage: Bacteria
Description: partial 16S ribosomal RNA
Rfam family: Bacterial small subunit ribosomal RNA
Source: RNAcentral
CCUACGGGUGGCAGCAGUGAGGAAUAUUGGUCAAUGGGCGCGAGCCUGAACCAGCCAAGUAGCGUGAAGGAUGACUGUACUGCGUGUUGUAAACUUCUUUUAUCAAGGAAUAAAGUGAGGCACGAGUGCCUUGUUGUAUGUACUUUAUGAAUAAGGAUCGGCUAACUCCGUGCCAGCAGCCGCGGUAAUACGGAGGAUCCGAGCGUUGUCCGGAUUUAUUGGGUUUAAAGGGAGCGUAGAUGGGUUGUUAAGUCAGUUGUGAUAGUUUGCGGCUCAACCGUAAAAUUGCAAUUGAUACUGGCAGUCUUGAGUACAGGUGAGGUAGGCGGAAUGCGUGGUGUAGCGGUGAAAUGCUUAGAUAUCACGAAGAACCCCGAUUGCGAAGGCAGCGUACUAAACUGACACUGACAUUGAUGCACGAAAGUGUGGGUAUCAAACAGGAUUAGAUACCCGAGUAGUC